GAAAGUGGCUCAAUUGAAGAUUUAGAGUUUCAGGAAAACCUUCCAGGAGCUGGAGGGUCGUGAGCAAAGACCUAGACAAAAAGGACAAGGCUAUAUAGCUUCCCUCUGACAUCAGUUCAUUUAAAACACGGGCUCUGUGAAAGCCCUCAGGAAGAAGGCCUCAGAGCCCUGAAGACCCAGGACUCAUUCUGCUGGUAUGGGGGAGAUGAGGACACAGCUUUUGUUGUCUCCGCUGAAUCCACAACAAUGGAGUCAGAGCAGAAAGUGGCCUCAGAAAGCCACCUCAGCCAAGGCCUUCAUUCUGUGUUCCUGGCAAGUGGGGCCCAGAGAGGGUCUUAUACGGCAGAAGGAAGGUUCUAGAAGAGCAGGGCCUUCUCGCGCCUGGCCUUGCCUCCCCCCAUGCUCCAUUGAUGUUUAUUAAUCAAAUUGCAUUGGAAGAGAUCUGGAUGAAUCGGGUGACUGAAGGCUAGUUGCAGCCAUACAUCUACCCCCAAAUCUGCUGUGUGUCCUUGGGUAAGUACUUUUUUUCCCCUCUCUGGGCCCCAGUUUCCCCUUCUGAAAAAUGGAGCUUCCACUGCUGCCAGGCUGGCUGGCAGGAUAGGCUGGUUGAAUUAGC
RNAcentral lists this long non-coding RNA (616 nucleotides) under Mustela putorius furo (domestic ferret). RNAcentral's name for it is "lncRNA (ENSMPUG00000024372.1)". Lineage: Eukaryota; Metazoa; Chordata; Mammalia; Carnivora; Mustelidae. The record is from RNAcentral.